RNAcentral lists this ribosomal RNA (467 nucleotides) under uncultured bacterium. RNAcentral's name for it is "partial 16S ribosomal RNA". It matches the Rfam family "Bacterial small subunit ribosomal RNA", at positions 28 to 507 of the family's 1533-position model. The record is from RNAcentral.
GAUGAACGCUGGCGGCGUGCUUAACACAUGCAAGUCGAACGGAAAGGCUCCUGCUUGCAGGGGUACUCGAGUGGCGAACGGGUGAGUAACACGUGGGUGAUCUGCCCUGCACUUCGGGAUAAGCCUGGGAAACUGGGUCUCAUACCGGAUAGGACCACAUUUUGGGUGGUGUGGUGGAAAGUUUUUCGGUGUGGGAUGAGCUCGCGGCCUAUCAGCUUGUUGGUGGGGUAAUGGCCUACCAAGGCGUCGACGGGUAGCCGGCCUGAGAGGGUGUACGGCCACAUUGGGACUGAGAUACGGCCAAGACUAGUACGGGAGGCAGCAGUGGGGAAUAUUGCACAAUGGGAGCAAGCCUGAUGCAGCGACGCCGCGUGGGGGAUGACGGCCUUCGGGUUGUAAACUCCUUUCGCUAGGGACGAAGCGUUUUUGUGACGGUACCUGGAGAAGAAGCACCGGCUAACUACGUG